AAGGCUUUCAAAAGGUUUUAUUUCAUUUUAAACCCUAGGGUUUCACCCAUUUGAGCUUUGGAUCUUAAAACCAAUGGGGUUUAACUAUAAAAGGGGUUUAUUACAUAAAUAAGUUAUCCCAUAUUUUUGGGUAUUUAUUUGGAGUUGAAAAGGUAUUUUAUUUAAAUAGUUAUAUAGCCCUAAAGGCAUUUACAGGGCAAAUGUAUUUUUAUGUAUUUUAUUUUGAGGCGAAAUUACUCCCAAAAGUUGAAUAAUGAUAAAACAUUAUUUUAAAAAAAUUCUGGAAUUUAGUUGGAUCAAUUUUGAGUUCAAAAUCAAAAGAUAUCAAAGAAAUCAGAAAAAGAAAAAGAGAAAAGGCUAAAAGGAAAAAAGAAAAAGGGAAGCGGACCGGCCCGGCCGGAUUGGGCCGAACCAGCCCAUCCCUCGCGCGCGCACCGCAGCCCCGCCGGCCCAGCGCCGCUUGCGCCCGCCGUGAGCCACUAACAGGAGGGGCCCACCUGUCAGGCGCUUCGUC
This 514-nucleotide long non-coding RNA is filed under the name Brachypodium distachyon (stiff brome). Its description in RNAcentral is "long non-coding RNA (BDIS_LNC005727)". The record is from RNAcentral. Lineage: Eukaryota; Viridiplantae; Streptophyta; Magnoliopsida; Poales; Poaceae.